GAUGAAGAACGUAGCGAAAUGCGAUACUUGGUGUGAAUUGCAGAAUCCCGUGAACCAUCGAGUCUUUGAACGCAAGUUGCGCCCGAAGCCAUUAGGCCGAGGGCACGCCUGCCUGGGCGUCACACGUCGUUGCCCCCCCAUCUACUCCUUCGGGAUUGCGGGGGGCGGAUGAUGGCCUCUCGUGCGCCUCGUCGCGCGGUUGGCCUAAAUGCCAAGUCCUCGGCGACGCACGCCACGACAAUCGGUGGUUGCGAAACCUCGGUUGCCUGUCGUGUGUGGUCGUCGCGCAUCGAGGGCUCGAAAAAAUUGCCGGGCUUCGGCUCGACUUUCAACGCGACCCCAGGUCAGGCGGGGUUACCCGCUGAAUUUAAGCAUAUCAUAAGCGGAGGA
RNAcentral lists this unclassified non-coding RNA (390 nucleotides) under soil metagenome. RNAcentral describes it as "partial contains 5.8S ribosomal RNA, internal transcribed spacer 2, and large subunit ribosomal RNA". The stretch from base 1 to 122 matches the Rfam family "5.8S ribosomal RNA", at positions 35 to 154 of the family's 154-position model. The record is from RNAcentral.